This 74-nucleotide transfer RNA is filed under the name archaeon GW2011_AR15. Its description in RNAcentral is "tRNA-Trp". It matches the Rfam family "tRNA". Rfam says of the family: Transfer RNA (tRNA) molecules are approximately 80 nucleotides in length. RNAcentral also lists the same sequence under 1 other name. The record is from RNAcentral.
GGGGACGUAGUACAACCUGGCUAGUAUAAGCGGCUCCAGACCGCUGGAUCGGGGUUCAAAUCCCUGCGUCCCCA